Megalobrama amblycephala (Wuchang bream) is the source of this 1336-nucleotide long non-coding RNA. RefSeq lists it as uncharacterized. NCBI's taxonomy places the organism in Eukaryota, Metazoa, Chordata, Actinopteri, Cypriniformes, Xenocyprididae. The transcript has 2 exons. The record is from RefSeq and is a predicted model, not a curated record.
CAGAUGGAAGCAGUGCGGGGAGUGGAACAACUGUAUUCAUGGUUUGACACCACACCUCAUCGUGAUGCAAUAUACAUGUAUCAAUCAGCAGAAAAUUCCACAUGACAACUUUUCAACUAUUUUUGUCUUAGAUUUCAGUAUAUGUAAACAUGACUUUGCACAUGUGCCAUUUACAUUUCCUUCAUGGAAACACGUACGUCUCUGCUCAGUCACGGCUUUUGUCAUGAAACUGCUCUUUUGCAAUAAGGGGAAUUCCUGGUUCCUCCUCUGACAAGCCUUUUUUUUCUCUCCGUCUCCCUUUUUCCCUUUUUUGUUUUAUGGGAACUGAGGGCUGAACCAGUGAGAUGUUUUUCCUCAGAAGCGCUUUGUAUUGAUUCAUUAUGAGGGGGCGGGAGAUUCCCUCCCACUGCUUCCUUCUUACUGGGAAGUGAUUGCAGGCUUACGGUCUGAGAGAGCAUGAGGGAGUGAGUGUGAGAGGGACACAGAGAGAGAGAGAGAGAGAGAUAUUUAAGCUGAGAGAAAUCAGAAGUCAUAUAUUCAGAAGUCGCUCAUCUCUGGCUUUACGUGUGAGUUUCUGGGGACAAACGAGGAUUGUGGAUUUUAAAGCAACAGCUUGAUCCAUAGAAGGAGAGAUGUGAUCCUGACCAGCUGGGAUAAGCCUGAUUUUCUCCUUAUCAGAUAAGUAUUGGAUGUAUUUUGGGAGAGAAAUAUAAAUGUUUCACUGGCUCUAUAAAAUUAUAAAGAUCAUGAUUGUGUUGUCAUGUGAUUUCUCAUCACUACACACAUGUAGUUUUAUAAUGUGGCAUCAUGAGAGAACAGGAAAAUAAGUGAUAUUUCUGGUACUUCAGAGGGGGUUUCCAACGGUGCACCCAUCAGGGCAGUUCGACUGGUUCAGAGCCGAUUAUUGGGAAGAGACAGUUUCCUGAAAGUCCUCAGGUGUGGCAGAUGAAUUCGUGAUUCUCGUGUUCAAAGAAAGCAAAAGUGUAUCAAAGGUCUGGAGCUCUGAAGACUCUUGGGUUUGGGAAUCAGCGUAGAAAUAAACAGCAUUUCUUCUAAACAGUAGACUGAUGAAGUGUGUUCGGAGCGCUCGGCCCUGAGAACUGAAUUCCAUAGAUGGUGUUCAUAUAGAGUUCAUCUAUGGACUCAGUUCUUCUGGCACUGUGUUCAACUUCUGCUCAUUGAAAACACUUCAGAUGUACAUGGUAUUCUGUCAUUCUAAGAAGUAACUUGUGACAAACCUGAUUAAACAAGAUACAAUGUCACAAGAUGAGUUACAAUCUGAGAUAUGAUUUCUUUUGUGUCGUUCUUCCAAUAAAUGUUUACAAAUUCAUUCAAA